This 253-nucleotide ribosomal RNA is filed under the name uncultured bacterium. RNAcentral's name for it is "partial 16S ribosomal RNA". It matches the Rfam family "Bacterial small subunit ribosomal RNA", at positions 524 to 776 of the family's 1533-position model. The record is from RNAcentral.
UACAGAGGUCUCAAGCGUUGUUCGGAUUCAUUGGGCGUAAAGGGUGCGUAGGCGGCGCGGUAAGUCGGGUGUGAAAUCUCGGAGCUUAACUCCGAAACUGCAUUCGAUACUGCCGUGCUUGAGGACUGGAGAGGAGACUGGAAUUUACGGUGUAGCGGUGAAAUGCGUAGAUAUGACAUAGAACACCAAUUGCGAAGGCAGCUGGCUACGCAUAUAUUGACACUGAGGCACGAAAGCGUGGGGAUCAAACAGG